GGGUGCAAUCAUACCAACGUUAAUGCACCGGAUCUCAUCAUAAAUCUGGAGUUAAGCAUGCUUGGGCUAGAGUAGUACUGGGAUCGGUGAACUCCUGGGAAUUCCUUAUGUUGCACCCU
Molecule: non-coding RNA, 119 nt
Organism: Picea glauca (white spruce)
Lineage: Eukaryota; Viridiplantae; Streptophyta; Pinopsida; Pinales; Pinaceae
Source: Rfam